ACCAACGUUUGAUAAGAUUCACCUAUUAGGAGAGGUCAGGACUUGGGCUGGGUUACUCACUGAAGCAGGCUUGAGCCUGGUCAGUACCUGGAUGGGAGACCACAUGAGAAAACUAGGUUGCUGUUGGAA
RNAcentral lists this ribosomal RNA (129 nucleotides) under Danio rerio (zebrafish). The record is from RNAcentral. Lineage: Eukaryota; Metazoa; Chordata; Actinopteri; Cypriniformes; Danionidae.